CUGGAGAACAACAAAUACCUCUGCUGGUGGGUCUCAGCCCACGGCGCCGUGUCUGGUGCACUGGCUGUGAGUUCUUUGCCGUAAGUCUUUUCGCCUCGCCAGGCCCCAGAUACUGGCAUCUCCUUUCAAAAAGAAAACGCCAAAAGCUAAAUGUAUACCAUCUCGGAGAAAAGAAGUUCUGGGGACUCCUUGGUGGCAAAGGCGGUUGAGUGCAGCGCUGUGGAGCUGUCUGCAGCCUCUGCAGCAUGGGUUCGAUCCCGGCCGGCCAGUGAGGGUCCCACAUGGUGAAGCAGACCUUUCCUGUCAUGCCUGCUGCUCCCCUCAGCAGUGUAUUUCAUCAGUCUGCCUGUUCUGUUCCCCGCUCUGUCUCUGGUGAAUCCUCUCAUCCUCCUGCGCAUCUGGCCUAUACCCCAGUUCUUGUAUAAAUAAAUAAAUCUUUAAAAAAAAAUAAAGUCACUGAAUUUGGCAGUGCUGGAACCAAACUUCUCCCCCUUUACUUCCCUUUCCCACAGAGAUGCACUUGUUUGCCCAAAGCAGAAGUCCUGGUUCUCAUAAAUGAUAUUA
Talpa occidentalis (Iberian mole) is the source of this 564-nucleotide long non-coding RNA. RefSeq lists it as uncharacterized. The record is from RefSeq and is a predicted model, not a curated record. Lineage: Eukaryota; Metazoa; Chordata; Mammalia; Eulipotyphla; Talpidae. The transcript is spliced from 3 exons.